GACGAACGCUGGCGGCGUGCUUAACACAUGCAAGUCGAACGGAAAGGCUCCAGCUUGCUGGGUUACUCGAGUGGCGAACGGGUGAGUAACACGUGGGUAAUCUGCCCUGCACUCUGGGAUAAGCCUGGGAAACUGGGUCUAAUACUGGAUAUGUCCUGUCUCCUUAUGGGGUUUGUUUGAAAGUUUUUCGGUGUAGGAUGAGCCCGCGGCCUAUCAGCUUGUUGGUGGGGUGAUGGCCUACCGAGGCGCCGACGGGUAGCCGGCCUGAGAGGGUGAUCGGCCACACUGGGACUGAGAUACGGCCCAGACUCCUACGGGAGGCAGCAGUGGGGAAUAUUGCACAAUGGGCGGAAGCCUGAUGCAGCGACGCCGCGUGAGGGAUGACGGCCUUCGGGUUGUAAACCUCUUUCAGCAGGGAAGAAGCGUAAGUGACGGUACCUGCAGAAGAAGCACCGGCUAACUAUGUG
Molecule: ribosomal RNA, 467 nt
Filed under: uncultured bacterium
Lineage: Bacteria
Description: partial 16S ribosomal RNA
Rfam family: Bacterial small subunit ribosomal RNA
Source: RNAcentral